AACGUAGGAGACAAACGUUAUCCGGAGUUACUGGGCGUAAAGGGCGUGUAGGCGGUCUGUUAAGUCUGGCGUGAAAGCUCUCGGCUAAACCGGGAGAGGUCGUUGGAGACUGGCAAGACUAGAGGAUGAUAGAGGCGUGUGGAAUUCCGGGUGUAGUGGUGAAAUGCGUAGAGAUCCGGAGGAACACCAGUGGCGAAGGCGACACGCUGGGUCAUAUCUGACGCUCAAGCGCGACAGCAUGGGGAGCAAACGGG
Molecule: ribosomal RNA, 254 nt
Filed under: uncultured bacterium
Lineage: Bacteria
Description: partial 16S ribosomal RNA
Rfam family: Bacterial small subunit ribosomal RNA
Source: RNAcentral